This 253-nucleotide ribosomal RNA is filed under the name uncultured bacterium. Its description in RNAcentral is "partial 16S ribosomal RNA". It matches the Rfam family "Bacterial small subunit ribosomal RNA", at positions 524 to 776 of the family's 1533-position model. The record is from RNAcentral.
UACGAAGGGGGCUAGCGUUGCUCGGAAUCACUGGGCGUAAAGCGCACGUAGGCGGACUCUUAAGUCGGUGGUGAAAUCCUGGAGCUCAACUCCAGAACUGCCUUCGAUACUGAGAGUCUCGAGUCCGGGAGAGGUGAGUGGAACUGCGAGUGUAGAGGUGAAAUUCGUAGAUAUUCGCAAGAACACCAGUGGCGAAGGCGGCUCACUGGCCCGGUACUGACGCUGAGGUGCGAAGGCGUGGGGAGCAAACAGG